AACGAACGCUGGCGGCAUGCCUAACACAUGCAAGUCGAACGAGACCUUCGGGUCUAGUGGCGCACGGGUGCGUAACGCGUGGGAACCUGCCCUUAGGUUCGGAAUAACUCCCCGAAAGGGGUGCUAAUACCGGAUAAUGUCUUCGGACCAAAGAUUUAUCGCCUUUGGAUGGGCCCGCGUUGGAUUAGCUAGUUGGUAGGGUAAAAGCCUACCAAGGCGACGAUCCAUAGCUGGUCUGAGAGGAUGAUCAGCCACACUGGGACUGAGACACGGCCCAGACUCCUACGGGAGGCAGCAGUGGGGAAUAUUGGACAAUGGGCGAAAGCCUGAUCUAGCAAUGCCGCGUGAGUGAUGAAGGCCUUAGGGUUGUAAGGCUCUUUUACCCGGGAUGAUAAUGACAGUACCGGGAGAAUAAGCUCCGGCUAACUCCGUG
RNAcentral lists this ribosomal RNA (433 nucleotides) under uncultured bacterium. RNAcentral describes it as "partial 16S ribosomal RNA". It matches the Rfam family "Bacterial small subunit ribosomal RNA", at positions 29 to 507 of the family's 1533-position model. The record is from RNAcentral.